CGGCAGUGUAUGAGGGGUUGAAGUAUGGUUGCUAGUAUUGGCCAAGACUCAGCUAUUGUUAGAGGGCAUACUCCUAAAUUAGGUUUUCAAUCUUGUCUCCCUUUUAAGUUAGGUUGCAGGUCCUCCACAAGGACUCAAAUAUAGAAAUACAGGAUCCUUCUCAGGCCAUAUUUAGUUUGCUUUAACAGGGCAUUAUGUGAAUACAUACUGUAUUCCAUUAAGAGAUCCUUGCUCUGAAGAAAUUUUAAAAGUGAAAAAAACCUUUCACAUCUGGAGAGCGCAUCUUUGGAAUGCAAUGUGAGAGAACAUUCCCCAGGAGAUGGAAACAUAUUUAUGAUCUCCAAGUUAUAGAUAUUCUUUCAGAUCCUGCAUACUGAAACUACUGAUGCCAGCUGGUCUGUAGGAUUCUAUGAGAAGUUGACUCACCAAUGAAUGAAGUUUCCACAUCCUGAUGAUCUCAUCCCCUUGCCACAAUGAAUCAACAGCCCCAAUUUUCCAGCCCCUUGCCCUCCAAAAUCUCCUUAAAAACCCCAGUCCAGAACUCCCCGGAGGAUAUGGAUUUGAGGAUUCCUCUCGUCUCUCUACUUGGCUGCCCUGCAAUCAUUAAACUCUUUCUCUGCUGCAAACCAUGCUGUCUCAGUGUAUUGGUCUAUUA
Molecule: long non-coding RNA, 655 nt
Filed under: Homo sapiens (human)
Lineage: Eukaryota; Metazoa; Chordata; Mammalia; Primates; Hominidae
Description: HSALNT0151354
Source: RNAcentral